CAGGAAGGAGGGACAGCUGUGUCCUCGUGGCCCCUGCACUGCAGGGCAGGGGCCCGGGCUGGCCUCACCCUCGCCCUCCAAGAUCGUCAAAGAGCGCACCCAGCAGUGGCCAGCUCAGUCCCAUCAGAGAAACCCCGAUGGGCUCAUUCACAAUCCCUUUCACCGCUGCCCACUGGUGAGAAGCUUGGAAGGCCCAGCACCUAGCUCAGCACCCUGAGGCCAGCCGCUCCGCCCUCACUCCUGUCUGUACCAGCACCAGGCUGCAGUGUCCUGACACCUGGGGCUCGGCCCUGCCUCCUCGAAAGGGAAGAUCCGACUGCAGAGACACUU
This 330-nucleotide long non-coding RNA is filed under the name Heterocephalus glaber (naked mole-rat). RNAcentral's name for it is "lncRNA (ENSHGLG00000043917.1)". The record is from RNAcentral. Lineage: Eukaryota; Metazoa; Chordata; Mammalia; Rodentia; Bathyergidae.